AGGGACUUUACUAGACAAGGAUGGAACUUAUUUGUUAAAAUAUGAAUUCCAAACCCAAAGCCAGGACAUGGGGAAACAAUUGAAAACCGACCAAAUGCCAAAUACGUGACAUAAAACCGACAUGAACACUUUCAUUUAUCAUUGCAUUUGUCAUUGUAAAUAAAACGUUUACAACUUUCGAAUGGUUAUAUAUUAUUUUUGAAUUACAUAGACUGGUGCUUGACAUAUAGUAUGAAUAUGUGUGUAUAAUUGAAAAUAUGACAAUUUUAAACACAUAUGUUUCAGAAGCCUCAGAUGGAAUUCAGGUUUUUUCUUGGUCUUGUCUUGGAUUGUUUUGUAGUUGUCUCAUUGACGCAA
RNAcentral lists this long non-coding RNA (357 nucleotides) under Mytilus galloprovincialis (Mediterranean mussel). Lineage: Eukaryota; Metazoa; Mollusca; Bivalvia; Mytilida; Mytilidae. The record is from RNAcentral.